GAUGAACGCUAGCUACAGGCUUAACACAUGCAAGUCGAGGGGAAACGAUAGAGAAAGCUUGCUUUUUCUAGGCGUCGACCGGCGCACGGGUGAGUAACGCGUAUCCAACCUGCCCAUCACUUGGGGAUAACCUUGCGAAAGUACGACUAAUACCCAAUGACGUCUCUAGAAGACAUCUGAAAGGGAUUAAAGAUUUAUCGGUGCUGGAUGGGGAUGCGUCUGAUUAGCUUGUUGGCGAGGUAACGGCCCACCAAGGCGACGAUAAGUAGGGGUUCUGAGAGGAAGGUCCCCCACAUUGGAACUGAGACACGGUCCAAACUCCUACGGGAGGCAGCAGUGAGGAAUAUUGGUCAAUGGACGAGAGUCUGAACCAGCCAAGUAGCGUGCAGGAUGACGGCCCUAUGGGUUGUAAACUGCUUUUAUAAGGGAAUAAAGUGAGAGUCGUGACUCUUUUUGCAUGUACCUUAUGAAUAAGGACCGGCUAAUUCCGUGCCAGCAGCCGCGGUAA
This 508-nucleotide ribosomal RNA is filed under the name uncultured bacterium. RNAcentral's name for it is "partial 16S ribosomal RNA". It matches the Rfam family "Bacterial small subunit ribosomal RNA", at positions 28 to 523 of the family's 1533-position model. The record is from RNAcentral.